RNAcentral lists this ribosomal RNA (500 nucleotides) under uncultured bacterium. RNAcentral describes it as "partial 16S ribosomal RNA". It matches the Rfam family "Bacterial small subunit ribosomal RNA", at positions 30 to 523 of the family's 1533-position model. The record is from RNAcentral.
AUUGAACGCUGGCGGAAUGCUUUACACAUGCAAGUCGAACGGCAGCACGGACUUCGGUCUGGUGGCGAGUGGCGAACGGGUGAGUAAUGUAUCGGAACGUGCCCAGUCGUGGGGGAUAACGUAGCGAAAAUUACGCUAAUACCGCAUACGAUCUAUGGAUGAAAGCGGGGGAUCGCACGACCUCGCGCGAUUGGAGGCGCCGAUAUCAGAUGAGGUAGUUGGUGGGGUAAAGGCCCACCAAGCCAACGAUCUGUAGCUGGUCUGAGAGGACGACCAGCCACACUGGAACUGAGACACGGUCCAGACUCCUACGGGAGGCAGCUGUGGGGAAUUUUGGACAAUGGGCGAAAGCCUGAUCCAGCCAUUCCGCGUGCAGGAUGAAGGCCCUCGGGUUGUAAACUGCUUUUGUACAGAACGAAAAGGUUUCUACUAAUACUAGGAGCUCAUGACGGUACUGUAAGAAUAAGCACCGGCUAACUACGUGCCAGCCGCCGCGGUAA